This 429-nucleotide ribosomal RNA is filed under the name Bacteroidota bacterium. RNAcentral describes it as "Bacteroidetes bacterium partial 16S ribosomal RNA". It matches the Rfam family "Bacterial small subunit ribosomal RNA", at positions 355 to 776 of the family's 1533-position model. The record is from RNAcentral. Lineage: Bacteria; Pseudomonadati; Bacteroidota.
UAGGGAAUCUUCGGCAAUGGGGGGAACCCUGACCGAGCAACGCCGCGUGAGUGAAGAAGGUUUUCGGAUCGUAAAGCUCUGUUGUUAAGGAAGAACGAGUGUGAGAAUGGAAAGUUCAUACUGUGACGGUACUUAACCAGAAAGGGACGGCUAACUACGUGCCAGCAGCCGCGGUAAUACGUAGGUCCCGAGCGUUGUCCGGAUUUAUUGGGCGUAAAGCGAGCGCAGGCGGUUAGAUAAGUCUGAAGUUAAAGGCAGUGGCUCAACCAUUGUAGGCUUUGGAAACUGUUUAACUUGAGUGCAGAAGGGGAGAGUGGAAUUCCAUGUGUAGCGGUGAAAUGCGUAGAUAUAUGGAGGAACACCAGUGGCGAAGGCGACUCUCUGGUCUGUAACUGACGCUGAGGCUCGAAAGCGUGGGGAGCGAACAGG